GUGAAGAACGUAGCGAAAUGCGAUAACUAAUGUGAAUUGCAGAAUUCAGUGAAUCAUCGAGUCUUUGAACGCACAUUGCGCCCCCUGGUAUUCCGGGGGGCAUGCCUGUCCGAGCGUCAUUGCUGCCCUCAAGCACGGCUUGUGUGUUGGGCUCCGCCCCCCCGGGGACGGGUCCGAAAGGCAGCGGCGGCACCGAGUCCGGUCCUCGAGCGUAUGGGGCUUUGUCACCCGCUCUGUAGGCCCGGCCGGCGCCAGCCGACAACCAAUCAUCCUUUUUUCAGGUUGACCUCGGAUCAGGUAGGGAUACCCGCUGAACUUAAGCAUAUCAAUAAGCGGAGGA
This 340-nucleotide unclassified non-coding RNA is filed under the name soil metagenome. Its description in RNAcentral is "partial contains 5.8S ribosomal RNA, internal transcribed spacer 2, and large subunit ribosomal RNA". The stretch from base 2 to 119 matches the Rfam family "5.8S ribosomal RNA", at positions 37 to 154 of the family's 154-position model. The record is from RNAcentral.